GGCCAAGGGAAGCUCAUCAGUGGGGCUAUGAGCUGAGUGCAUCAUAUCAUUCCGUAGCAAGUUCUUUGAGAAGUCUGAGACUAAGGCCAACUGUGACCCUAAUAGAGCCACCCCUGAGCCUAGGGGUGGCGAGUUCCAGUGAGAAGAUUCGAGAAAAUAACAGCAACAUAAAAAUGAUUAUCACGGGGCUGGGGAUUUAGCUCAGCGGCAAAAGCGCCUGCCUGGCAAGCGCAAGGUCGUGAGUUCGGUUCCCGGUA
Molecule: RNase P RNA, 257 nt
Filed under: Chinchilla lanigera (long-tailed chinchilla)
Lineage: Eukaryota; Metazoa; Chordata; Mammalia; Rodentia; Chinchillidae
Description: Nuclear RNase P (ENSCLAG00000021378.1)
Rfam family: Nuclear RNase P
About the family: Ribonuclease P (RNase P) is a ubiquitous endoribonuclease, found in archaea, bacteria and eukarya as well as chloroplasts and mitochondria. Its best characterised activity is the generation of mature 5'-ends of tRNAs by cleaving the 5'-leader elements of precursor-tRNAs. Cellular RNase Ps are ribonucleoproteins.
Source: RNAcentral